GGCUGUGAAAUCUACAGUUAUUUACUGUCGAUUUCACAGUAACAUUACUGUAUAAGAUUUUUACAGUAGAAUAUUGUAAAGUUUACAGUAAGACUGUAAAAAUCACAGUAGUCCAAGCAUUACAGUUGAAAUCACAGUAGUCAAAGCAUUACUGUAAAAAAAUCACAAUUUAGCCACUAUAGUACUGUAAAUAGUAAAGUAAACUACUGUAAUUUUCCUUUUUUUAUCAUAUCUUUCUUUGUACCCCUUUCACAUGGACGGCUCCAGAUUAUUGUUGUUCAGAAUUCAUUACCGGAAUAUGAUGUAAAUACUCGAUGGUGAGCUUUAAGUAAAAGUAUAAUAUUAAUAAAUUAAAAUGUGUCAUGUAACUUGUACUCUGAUGCACCUGCUGCAGGUGCUUUCUAUUCCAUACAAUAUAUAUUUUUUAAAGAAUUCACAUAAGAUUCCAAGAAUAUUUUUUGUUUGUUUGUUUUGUGACUGUAAAUGGGUGUUUGGGUGUAAAUGGGUGUUAACAGGGCAAUAAAAUAUUUGAUACGCCUUAUCUUAAUCUCCAAAGUCUCCCCUGACAUGGUCUAACAAUAUAUUCCAGAUGUGUAACUUUUUGUGUUCAAAAUUUACAAAAAAAUAUACAAUGGGAAUGUACAACAUGAAUCUAUUUUCCAAACCGUGUUUGUGUCUUACCCUGAAUUAUUAUGGUAAUGGUACACCUAGAAUAAGUGUGUAUAUUCGGACUAUUUUAGACCAGUCUGGUAGGAACCGCUGCGGAGUAUCACAGUACCUGCGUGACUCGUCAUAGACAUAAACAGAGAGAAGUAGCUCCGGCUACAAUGUUCUUCCGCAAAAUGCAUGCCGUUUUGUUUAUGAACUGCUAGAGUGCCAAAAGUUACAGACUUGUUUAUAUAUUAUAUAUAUGUUGUGUUUGUGAAUUACGGAUAUUUAUUGGAUGGGGCAUGCGCGAGACAAAUUCGAAAUUUUAAACAAGCAAGUCAAACGGACUUUCGGAGAAUCUUGAGUACUGCGCAUGCGCAUCAUUUGGUUCUGUAACGGUCGACCUCCAGCAGACGGACACAGUAAAAGCAGCUGAGGAGAGACAGUCAUGAUGCCAUGACAAUAAUUGAUGAUUAAAAGCAGGGAUAAUCUCCAGGUGGACUGCACGGGUCCAGGAUCUAGAGAUCAUUCAUCAUGAGGACUAUGUUCCAGGAGAAGCAGCAUAUCCUGGGUGAAAAACUAUGCCUUAAUUUUUCCAAUAUCACUUAGGUAAGACUAAAUGUAUUUAAAUUGAUUUCAAUCAUGGGUCAUUUGUUUCAGGUCUACUUGAUCAUUUUGUUGGCCUGGAUGUGAGAACAUGGUCAAAAGGUGUGUCAAUCAGCAUCCAGCCAUAAAAGAUGCCUUCUCGUUAAAAGGCUCAGAAGGACAAACAGCUGCCAGAGGAGGAUGAUGAUGAUGAUGAUGGCAGUGGUGACCGAGAUGAAGAGGAGGAGGAACAUCUUCCAGUUUGCAAAAAUCCAAAGUGAUCCUUGCCUCAGAAGAGCCUGAGAAAGACACACUUCCUCCUCUCACAGCUCUCCAUCAUCUUCCUCCUCAACACUGUUGGAAAGAGUGUUCUACACAGCUGAGGACACGGUAAUGAGAGAUCUCAAAUUCUUCCUGAGAAAGUCCACAUGUUAAUUUUCUUGAACAAAAACUGUACAUGUAUUUUUGGGUGGGCCAAACUAUUAUUUGAAGAAAUGCUAAAAAUCUCUAUAUUGCUCUUUAUACAUAUCUUUUACUCUUUAUGAAUGUCAUCUUCUAGAUUUUUUUUAUCUUUUGGGAAGCUCAAGGACUGUAUAUCUUUGGUAAUUGUGAUAUCGUCUGGUAAAAGUUCUAGUAAAGCAGUAUUAAAGCACAUUACCUCAGUAUAUAUUACUCAUACAGGACACUUAGGAAAUGGUUUAAAACAUUUUUUUGCAAAUAAAGUAAUAAAAUAUCUGCUGAAUCUUUUUUCACAUAUUUGUCAUUUUUGUGCUAAAUUUUGGAGAGUAGUAAUCAUAAGAGUAUAAAUAUAAUUGAUAAAAUCAUUAUUUAACUAUACCCAUCUCUCUAAUGAUGAAACACUUUUUCAAUAAAAAGAAUAAAACAUUAAUCAUUUGGUUACAUUUAUUUAUUGAUUGUAUUGUUUGGUCUAUGAAUGUGUUUGAUUUAUGAAUUCAUGUGUUCAAUUUUCUGUACUCAUAACUUAAUAACACUUGGUUGCAUGGUAAUGUUAAUGUAUUGGCUUAUUGUACAAAGUAACAAUGCUGAUGAUUUCAUGGAUGCAGUGUGUUUCUAGCCAUUUUCUAUCAUAAUUUAAUGAGGGCAUCUAUUGGUUUCCAUUACAUAUUUUGAUCUGCAAAUGUAUUAACCAAACCAAUACAAUUCCUUAUAACAAUUAGAAUUUAUAAUGUUUUAUAGCAGAGAAUUAAGUGUUCAGUUCUGCAUGGAUUCUGUGCAUGGAACACAGAAAGUUCGUUAACUUUGGAUGGUAUAAUGGCAUGUUGUCCAAUGUCCAUUAUCCCUUUAUGUUGUACCUGUUUUGUCAUUCCUGUUCACCAAAUGUUUUGAAAUAAAUAACUGUUAACAAUU
Megalobrama amblycephala (Wuchang bream) is the source of this 2601-nucleotide long non-coding RNA. RefSeq lists it as uncharacterized. The transcript is spliced from 5 exons. The record is from RefSeq and is a predicted model, not a curated record. Lineage: Eukaryota; Metazoa; Chordata; Actinopteri; Cypriniformes; Xenocyprididae.